This 611-nucleotide ribosomal RNA is filed under the name Streptococcus mutans. Its description in RNAcentral is "bacterial SSU rRNA". It matches the Rfam family "Bacterial small subunit ribosomal RNA", at positions 368 to 971 of the family's 1533-position model. Lineage: Bacteria; Bacillati; Bacillota; Bacilli; Lactobacillales; Streptococcaceae. The record is from RNAcentral.
GCAAUGGACGAAAGUCUGACCGAGCAACGCCGCGUGAGUGAAGAAGGUUUUCGGAUCGUAAAGCUCUGUUGUAAGUCAAGAACGUGUGUGAGAGUGGAAAGUUCACACAGUGACGGUAGCUUACCAGAAAGGGACGGCUAACUACGUGCCAGCAGCCGCGGUAAUACGUAGGUCCCGAGCGUUGUCCGGAUUUAUUGGGCGUAAAGGGAGCGCAGGCGGUCAGGAAAGUCUGGAGUAAAAGACUAUGGCUCAACCAUAGUGUGCUCUGGAAACUGUCUGACUUGAGUGCAGAAGGGGAGAGUGGAAUUCCAUGUGUAGCGGUGAAAUGCGUAGAUAUAUGGAGGAACACCAGUGGCGAAAGCGGCUCUCUGGUCUGUCACUGACGCUGAGGCUCGAAAGCGUGGGUAGCGAACAGGAUUAGAUACCCUGGUAGUCCACGCCGUAAACGAUGAGUGCUAGGUGUUAGGCCUUUCCGGGGCUUAGUGCCGGAGCUAACGCAAUAAGCACUCCGCCUGGGGAGUACGACCGCAAGGUUGAAACUCAAAGGAAUUGACGGGGGCCCGCACAAGCGGUGGAGCAUGUGGUUUAAUUCGAAGCAACGCGAAGAACCU